UACGUAGGGUGCGAGCGUUGUCCGGAAUUAUUGGGCGUAAAGAGCUCGUAGGCGGCUUGUCACGUCGGAUGUGAAAACCCGGGGCUCAACCCCGGGCCUGCAUUCGAUACGGGCAGGCUGGAGUUCGGCAGGGGAGACUGGAAUUCCUGGUGUAGCGGUGAAAUGCGCAGAUAUCAGGAGGAACACCGGUGGCGAAGGCGGGUCUCUGGGCCGAUACUGACGCUGAGGAGCGAAAGCGUGGGGAGCGAAC
Molecule: ribosomal RNA, 250 nt
Filed under: uncultured Actinomycetes bacterium
Lineage: Bacteria; Bacillati; Actinomycetota; Actinomycetes
Description: uncultured actinobacterium partial 16S ribosomal RNA
Rfam family: Bacterial small subunit ribosomal RNA
Source: RNAcentral